Molecule: ribosomal RNA, 332 nt
Filed under: uncultured bacterium
Lineage: Bacteria
Description: bacterial SSU rRNA
Rfam family: Bacterial small subunit ribosomal RNA
Source: RNAcentral
CGCGUAGGCGGUGCGGUAAGUCUCCUGUGAAACCUCUGGGCUCAACUCAGAGCCUGCAGGGGAAACUGCCGUGCUGGAGUGUGGGAGAGGCGAGUGGAAUUCCCGGUGUAGCGGUGAAAUGCAUAGAUAUCGGGAGGAACACCAGUGGCGAAGGCGGCUCGCUGGACCACAACUGACGCUGAGGCGCGAAAGCUAGGGUAGCAAACAGGAUUAGAUACCCUGGUAGUCCUAGCCUUAAACGAUGAAUGCUUGGUGUGAUCGGUAUCCAAUCCGAUUGUGCCGCAGCUAACGCGAUAAGCAUUCCGCCUGGGGAGUACGGUCGCAAGGCUGAA